CCUACAAAGUAGGUGAAGCAGAAUGCACAGCCCUUUUUCUGUACUGAAUGAUGAGUAAGAGCACUGGUAUUUUCCAUGCUUUUUUCCCAGUCAGCCACGGUGAUACAGACUCAGCCAUCAGAGUUCAUCUAAUCAUUUCCUUCCCCAAACCCUUCUGCAUUUCAGCUGUUACUCUCAAUUCUUCUACCACAAGUUACCAUCUUACCACGCUGAAGGAAAAAACCAUCUACCGAGUGCAGAUCUCAGGAUUCACUAAUGCUGGUGAAGGACCUCUGACUCUUUCACAACCUUUCACCACUCCAAAAUAUGAUAAAGGAGAAUUUGAAGGUUUCGUGGCCAUCCUUUGCUUCAGCAUGCUGUUCAUUCUGAUUUUUGCACCUGUCACUUGUUCUCUAGUGCUUAAAAGGCUGAAAAUAUCAUGUUGGCCCAGCGUACCAAGUCCAAGAAACAGCAGUGCGCUUCAAGAUAUGACUAAUUGGAAGCCUGUUUCAAGGUCACUGCUUCAGGCCCUGUCAGACAAUGAUACCACCAGCCUUUAUGUCAUAGAGCAUGAUUCAAAGGCUCCUUUGAAGCUAGACCUCUUUACAGAUGGUGGGGAAGACAGCAAGUCAGGAAGUGACACUGGCCAGUCAGAAGAACCUAGCAAUAACACAGACAUAAGCCAAAGGCACGAAGAAAUCCCUGAAAAAGCAGUUACAAGUGAAGAAGAAGGAAUCAUUUCCAUUACAGUACCACUCCUGAGUGACUACACCAGCAUGGAGUUCAGCCAGAAAGCCCUGAUGAGUCUGACAGUGAAGCUGCCUGCAAGAGCUGCUCGACCUCAUCUGGAAAUGGAACUAAGCAGUAAGCCAGCACAAACUGAGCAUCAGGUUUUGUUUGCUCCCCAAGACUACCUCAAACAAAGCCAGGUAGUAUUUUUGCCAUCUGGACCAACUGUG
This 938-nucleotide long non-coding RNA is filed under the name Calidris pugnax (ruff). RNAcentral's name for it is "lncRNA (ENSCPUG00000014879.1)". Lineage: Eukaryota; Metazoa; Chordata; Aves; Charadriiformes; Scolopacidae. The record is from RNAcentral.